This 207-nucleotide long non-coding RNA is filed under the name Elaeis guineensis (African oil palm). RNAcentral's name for it is "long non-coding RNA (EGUI_LNC023366)". The record is from RNAcentral. Lineage: Eukaryota; Viridiplantae; Streptophyta; Magnoliopsida; Arecales; Arecaceae.
AUGGAGCUUUAUAGCACGUCGAUAGAUGGUUCUCCAGUGAGAGUGGUACAUGUGAUCUUUUGAUCUGAGAUCAUCAUGGUAUCUUGUAUAUAUGGAUCCUUACUUUGGUUUAUUCUCUAGCAUGCCACUUUGAGAUGUAUGGGAUAUUCUGGGUAUGGUGAAGUGUGCAUGAAGGUUGUGAGUAGUCAACAAGAAAUUGGUCACUCU